GCAGUCGAACGGUGAACACGGAGCUUGCUCUGUGGGAUCAGUGGCGAACGGGUGAGUAACACGUGAGCAACCUGCCCCUGACUCUGGGAUAAGCGCUGGAAACGGCGUCUAAUACUGGAUAUGUGACGUGAUCGCAUGGUCUGCGUCUGGAAAGAAUUUCGGUUGGGGAUGGGCUCGCGGCCUAUCAGCUUGUUGGUGAGGUAAUGGCUCACCAAGGCGUCGACGGGUAGCCGGCCUGAGAGGGUGACCGGCCACACUGGGACUGAGACACGGCCCAGACUCCUACGGGAGGCAGCAGUGGGGAAUAUUGCACAAUGGGCGCAAGCCUGAUGCAGCAACGCCGCGUGAGGGACGACGGCCUUCGGGUUGUAAACCUCUUUUAGCAGGGAAGAAGCGAAAGUGACGGUACCUGCAGAAAAAGCGCCGGCUAACUACGUGCCAGCAGCCGCGGUAAUACGUAGGGCGCAAGCGUUAUCCGGAAUUAUUGGGCGUAAAGAGCUCGUAGGCGGUUUGUCGCGUCUGCUGUGAAAUCCGGAGGCUCAACCUCCGGCCUGCAGUGGGUACGGGCAGACUAGAGUGCGGUAGGGGAGAUUGGAAUUCCUGGUGUAGCGGUGGAAUGCGCAGAUAUCAGGAGGAACACCGAUGGCGAAGGCAGAUCUCUGGGCCGUAACUGACGCUGAG
Molecule: ribosomal RNA, 681 nt
Filed under: Microbacterium maritypicum
Lineage: Bacteria; Bacillati; Actinomycetota; Actinomycetes; Micrococcales; Microbacteriaceae
Description: bacterial SSU rRNA
Rfam family: Bacterial small subunit ribosomal RNA
Source: RNAcentral